GACGAACGCUGGCGGCGUGCUUAACACAUGCAAGUCGAACGGAAAGGCCCUGCUUUUGUGGGGUGCUCGAGUGGCGAACGGGUGAGUAACACGUGAGUAACCUGCCCUUGACUUUGGGAUAACUUCAGGAAACUGGGGCUAAUACCGGAUAGGAGCUCCUGCUGCAUGGUGGGGGUUGGAAAGUUUCGGCGGUUGGGGAUGGACUCGCGGCUUAUCAGCUUGUUGGUGGGGUAGUGGCUUACCAAGGCUUUGACGGGUAGCCGGCCUGAGAGGGUGACCGGCCACAUUGGGACUGAGAUACGGCCCAGACUCCUACGGGAGGCAGAAGUGGGGAAUAUUGCACAAUGGGCGGAAGCCUGAUGCAGCAACGCCGCGUGCGGGAUGACGGCCUUCGGGUUGUAAACCGCUUUCGCCUGUGACGAAGCGUGAGUGACGGUAAUGGGUAAAGAGGCACCGGCUAACUACGUG
This 468-nucleotide ribosomal RNA is filed under the name uncultured bacterium. RNAcentral describes it as "partial 16S ribosomal RNA". It matches the Rfam family "Bacterial small subunit ribosomal RNA", at positions 28 to 507 of the family's 1533-position model. The record is from RNAcentral.